RNAcentral lists this ribosomal RNA (299 nucleotides) under uncultured bacterium. Its description in RNAcentral is "partial 16S ribosomal RNA". It matches the Rfam family "Bacterial small subunit ribosomal RNA", at positions 28 to 325 of the family's 1533-position model. The record is from RNAcentral.
GACGAACGCUGGCGGCGUGCUUAACACAUGCAAGUCGAGCGGUAAGGCCCUUUCGGGGGUACACGAGCGGCGAACGGGUGAGUAACACGUGGGUGACCUGCCCUCAGCUCUGGGAUAAGCCUGGGAAACUGGGUCUAAUACUGGAUAUGACUCCACGGUGCAUGUCGUGGGGUGGAAAGCCUUGUGCGGCUGAGGAUGGGCCCGCGGCCUAUCAGUCUUGUUGGGUGGGGNGAUGGCCUACCAAGGCGACGACGGGUAGCCGGCCUGAGAGGGCGACCGGCCACACGUGGGACUGAGAC